This 327-nucleotide long non-coding RNA is filed under the name Ananas comosus (pineapple). RNAcentral's name for it is "long non-coding RNA (ACOM_LNC006708)". The record is from RNAcentral. Lineage: Eukaryota; Viridiplantae; Streptophyta; Magnoliopsida; Poales; Bromeliaceae.
GUUGUGAUUUAAAAAUUCAAAUAUGAAUUUAAAGUUUCAAAAUUUAAAUUUAAUGUUAAAUUUAUACUUUGAAUCUAAAAUAAAAAUAAAAUUUAGAAGUUUGAGUUCAAAAUCAGAAUCAGCUUUGGAGAAGCAGCUUUUUUCUGUUUCUGAUUCUGGAGACUUCAAAAUCAGUUUUUUGAUUCUAAAAAGUAGAAUCAGAUUUUCAGAAUGUCAUUCCCAAACGCUUUACUGAGCUCAAAAGUGAUUUUGAGCUUAGAAUCACUUUUAAAUAACUAGGCAAAACACCCCCUUACUAGAGGGUAAGAGAUUUUUUUUUAAAAUCAU